GACGAACGCUGGCGGCGUGCUUAACACAUGCAAGUCGAACGGUGAAGCGCCUUCCUUUUUGGUGGGUGUGGAUGAGUGGCGAACGGGUGAGUAACACGUGAGUAACCUGCCCCCUCCUUCUGGAUAACCGCAUGAAAGUGUGGCUAAUACGGGAUAUUCUGGGUCUGUCGCAUGAUGGGUCUGGGAAAGAUAUUGUUUCGGUGGGGGAUGGGCUCGCGGCCUAUCAGCUUGUUGGUGGGGUGAUGGCCUACCAAGGCGGUGACGGGUAGCCGGCCUGAGAGGGUCGGCGAUCAUAGUAGGGCUGAGACACGGCCAAGACUCCUAGGGGAAGCAGCAGUGGAGAAUAUUGCACGAUGGGCGGAAGGCUGAUGCAGCGACGCCGCGUGGGGGAUGGAGGCCUGCGGGUUGUGAACCUCUUUCGGGAGUGAAGCAGGGCUGCCUCGUUUGUGGGUGGGUUGACGGUAGCUGGAUAAGAAGCGCCGGCUAACUACGUG
Molecule: ribosomal RNA, 494 nt
Filed under: uncultured bacterium
Lineage: Bacteria
Description: partial 16S ribosomal RNA
Rfam family: Bacterial small subunit ribosomal RNA
Source: RNAcentral